GGACGAACGCUGGCGGCGUGCCUAACACAUGCAAGUCGAGCGGAGACAGUGAGUAGCUUGCUACGAACUGUUUUAGCGGCGGACGGGUGAGUAACGCGUGAGCAACCUUUCCCAGACAGGGGAAUAACACACCGAAAGGUGUACUAAUACCGCAUAAGACCACGGGAUCACAUGAUUCUGAGGUAAAAGAUUUAUCGGUUUGGGGUGGGCUCGCGUCCGAUUAGGUAGUUGGUGAGGUAACGGCCCACCAAGCCGACGAUCGGUAGCCGACCUGAGAGGGUGAUCGGCCACAUUGGGACUGAGACACGGCCCAAACUCCUACGGGAGGCAGCAGUGGGGAAUAUUGGGCAAUGGAGGAAACUCUGACCCAGCAACGCCGCGUGGAGGAAGAAGGUUUUCGGAUCGUAAACUCCUGUCCUUGGAGACGAGUAGAAGACGGUAUCCAAGGAGGAAGCCCCGGCUAACUACGUG
RNAcentral lists this ribosomal RNA (471 nucleotides) under uncultured bacterium. RNAcentral's name for it is "bacterial SSU rRNA". It matches the Rfam family "Bacterial small subunit ribosomal RNA", at positions 27 to 507 of the family's 1533-position model. The record is from RNAcentral.